RNAcentral lists this long non-coding RNA (167 nucleotides) under Cebus imitator (Panamanian white-faced capuchin). Its description in RNAcentral is "SMAD5 antisense RNA 1 conserved region 4 (ENSCCAG00000012035.1)". It matches the Rfam family "SMAD5 antisense RNA 1 conserved region 4". The record is from RNAcentral. Lineage: Eukaryota; Metazoa; Chordata; Mammalia; Primates; Cebidae.
UGCUUGUGUAUUUAAAUGGGUGUGGUGCUAAGUAUAUCUUGUUUACCUUAUCUGUGGAAAAGUUUUGAAGUCUGGUUAGGUUUGUCACAUCAUGCCUGUUGCCUAGCACUACGAAAAGUGUUCUUACCUAGCAGAAAAGAUUGGAUAGGUGGAGGUCGUGACUUGGC